UACGGAGGGUGCAAGCGUUGUUCGGAAUUAUUGGGCGUAAAGCGCGUGUAGGCGGUUUGUUAAGUCUGAUGUGAAAGCCCCGGGCUCAACCUGGGAAGUGCAUUGGAAACUGGCGGACUUGAAUACGGGAGAGGGUAGUGGAAUUCCUGGUGUAGGAGUGAAAUCCGUAGAUAUCAGGAGGAACACCGGUGGCGAAGGCGGCUGCCUGGACCGAUAUUGACGCUGAGACGCGAAAGCGUGGGUAGCAAACGGG
This 253-nucleotide ribosomal RNA is filed under the name uncultured bacterium. RNAcentral's name for it is "partial 16S ribosomal RNA". It matches the Rfam family "Bacterial small subunit ribosomal RNA", at positions 524 to 776 of the family's 1533-position model. The record is from RNAcentral.